RNAcentral lists this long non-coding RNA (239 nucleotides) under Zonotrichia albicollis (white-throated sparrow). Its description in RNAcentral is "lncRNA (ENSZALG00000013107.1)". The record is from RNAcentral. Lineage: Eukaryota; Metazoa; Chordata; Aves; Passeriformes; Passerellidae.
CACGGCUGCUGAGCCCAUGGAGCAGCAGCUGCUCCAGCUCCAGAGUGGACAAUCCCAUUUUUUGGGUGUUUUCCUAAAUGUCAGGGGGGUUUGUGAUGCAAUCUGUGUUAGUGGCACCUCCUCUGGGGCAAAUCCUGACACUGGGCCCAGGGUGUGAUGCACUGAGCCUGGUGUGGAUCUCCUGGAUCUUCAAAGGACAGCUCUUAAUUAGACAAGAGAUUAUUUGGACCAACCAGAAA